AGGCAUUUAAAUGUAAGGAAAAGCCUGAGAAAUGAUGUCAACGAGGAGCAAAGAAUAAACAUAGUGAGAGGUUCAUGCAACAGCAACAGAAUUAAAAUUUUAAAGCAGAAAAUACACCAAGUUGAGACCUGAGAUGUUAAAGGCCCACUUCACUGCAUGAUAAUCUUAUUGUAGGAGUUACAUAGCCAUACAAAAUUAAAGCUAAGAAAACCGGAGGAUAAAUAUCCAGAGAUAACAUAACUUGAACUCCUAAACUUACAAAUAUAUGAACUACAAUAGCUUAAUACUAUUACUGCCGAUCCAGUCCACAGUGGGGAACGUAAUAAUCCCAGCGCCAUUCUAUCAACUAAACCCACAUACUCCAACAAAAACCAAAAUACUCAACUUCUCUUAUUUGGAAUAAUAUAUCAAGGUUUACUCUUAGCAUUCAAUUUAAAAUAGUUUGGGUCAUUUCACAUAUGCACCAUUUAUGUUGUGACUGAAAACUGUGAAGGAAUCAACAGUGACAGUAAUUGAAGAAACAAUCCAAACAAAGUUGCGUCUCUCGUGUACUAGAGGCAACAAAAGCAGUAUGUUUUUUCAUAAUUUAAAAGAAAAACAAACCUAAUAUUUAGGCCUUUGGCACAGGUUUCUUCGUAGGUCCGAACCAUCUCUUCAGGAGUGGGUUUUGGGUCCUUCGGAAAUUCCAUGGUAAUGAGCCAGUGGUUAUAAUCACAGCCCUCGAAUAGUAUUGUAUCGGGCCCUAUCUUGUCAUCUUCGUUAUUACUCCCAAAUGAUGACCGGGAAUAGGAAGCCACUGACGACGAUCUCACUGGCCAAUAUGGUGGGAUCAUAGCCGGAGACUUAGAUAGUGAAGGAGUCGAAGGACAGAAAAUAGAAUGACUAGUCUGACCAGAUACUGCCGUAUAGCGGUUGAAAGCAGAAAGAACAGACAAAGUGCGGCGGAGACGAAGUGAAUGAAGUGCCAUGGUUGGUGCGAGACUGUAAUCGAAAUGGACAAGAAAGAAGACAGGUCGUUAUUACACAUUUCUGCUUAUUUUUUCAGUGGAAAAGAAAGACCAAAAAAACAAGAGAAAAUUACCAACUACAAAGCACAGAGAUACGAAGAAGAUGAUUCCGGUGGGGCGUCAGGAGUGGCGGUAGGUCGUGGGAGGGAAUAAGAAGGGAUGGAGAGGACGAACGAAGAAGAAGAUGAUUCCAAUGGGGAGACGGGCGAGAAAAGAAGAAAUCCAAGUCUAGGGUUUGGGGUUUUAGUAGAAAGGGGUUUUUGAUGGAAAUUUUGCGUCAAAUUAUGAUUUAUUUUCUUCCAUUUCUUCUCACACUAACUUCUUAGCUCAUUUUUUAGUGUUUUUAUAUACAAGUGAUUGAAGAUCGGUUUCGAAUGAUCGUCAAAAGUUUCAAAUCAGUGUUAGGGAGAGGACGAGUAAGUAUAGUUUAGUAUUUUUGAGUAAUCUACCGGUUCUGAAAGAUUAACUAACAAAUGCUCAUAAAUUAGGAACGAAGAUAAAAAAUCAUAUCAGUACUAUCAACCAACAUAUUUCAUAAAGCUAUUUUUUAAAAGAAUAUUUUAAGUGAUUAUCAAAUAUUAAACGCUAUUUUUUAAAAUGAUUUUUCUUAAACAAAACUCGAAAGUUAAGCUAAACACACGUAUUAGUCUAGGUAGUUCUUGAAAUUUAAUAAAUAUCAAUUUAGUCUUUUCUAGUUUAACAUUUAUAACAACUUAAUUCUUAAAGUGAAAAAAAAAUAUAUUGCACAAUUGACAAACAAAUUAUGAAUCAAAACCAUUUAUAAAUAAUAAAGAUGAACUCGUAUCAUAAUAAAAUUUGAAAAUUAAGUUAAAUUGGGAAGUAUAAGAAAAUUGUUGCAAUUUUAGGUUUGGAGACCCCAUUGUCACAAACUUUAAAAUUUUUCACCCAUUUCACUCGAUCAAUUAACAUAAGUUACUAAAAACAACGGUUAGUUUAACUAAAUUUUGAACUUGCACUAAUUCUUAAAUAUGUGGUCAUUGAUGUAUGAGCAUGCCAAUAAUUGUCAUCCAAGUGAGCCAACUGUUAAUAAUUGUUGUCGAAGUGAGCCAAUUGUUAUUGCCGAUAAUGGUUGUUGUUAGCGAAGAUCAUUGAAGAAGUUUGGUUUGAGGGUUUUCUGCAUGAAAUGGUUUAUUUAUGAACUAAAUGUACGAUAGUUUUUUAUUUUCUAAAACAAUGAAAAAAGUCCCUUAAUUUUAAUUAUCAAUUUCUUUUUUAAACAAUUCAUUGUCAAUCACUCAAUUUUCAAGUAUUCAUAGUUAAAAUUAUUAUUGAUUCCAAACUAAUUGUUUUUUUUAUCAAUGUAUCGUUCAACUAACGAAUCAAUUAAAUUUAUAUAAAAGACAUCUUAUUCUCGAGUAUACCAUUACUAUACAACUAACCAAUUAAACAACUCUUAACCGACCAAGUUAUCGAAGACAUUGAAGAAAUAGUAGUUUGAUACGCCAAGUUGUAAAAUAUGCUACGAUAGUAAAAAUCACUAAUUAAAAGAUAGUUUAGGUCAAUGAUUAGAAGAAAGUUAAAAUGUAAUCAAACAUAAUUUAAUAAAAUGCUAAUAUAGUUUUAAUAGUAAAUCAUAAGUAUAAAAUUUUAUCAAACCAUAAAGAUUAUAGUUUACCUUUAUCAAGCUUAACGACCAAAUUUCUAAUUUAAUGUAAUCCAAAAUCCAUGUUUGAAUUGAGCAUUUUCGACUUGAAUUGUAAUAUUAAUCUUAUUUCAUUUAUAUCAUUUUUAUUUUUUAUGCUUUAAUUUUGUUCUUGUCCCCGAUCCAACACAUAUUUGAUCACUUUUUUAUUUCUAGUAAUCCUGUUUACAUUCUAGCUCCUCGAACUCCUCGAACACCCCUUGAUUGUUUUCUUACAAGAAACAUGCUAGAAUGGAAUGGUUAUAACUUACCUGCACCCUUUAAUGGUAGUUUCCUUGAUGGGAAGCCAAUGGAAGUUUGAUGGUAAGGCAUUGGACCUCUUCCUUCAGAAGCAUUGCUAUUCAUAUGUGAAGGAUCUCUCCUUUCUCUACGACCUGGGGGACCGUGAUUUUGAGGUGAACCUCGUGGCGAAUAGUUUUGUGAAGCUAUGAAAUGGCGUCCAUCUCCUUGUGUAGAACCCUGUUGGGAGAAGGAUGGAUUACCUUGCCUAUUCGACGAUGAUCUAGAUACCCUCUCAUAUAUUGGUUGAUCAGGAUUUCUUGUCUGAUGUUUUCUCUCCUGCCCUCCACCAGAUUGAAUGGGUGGUCGUCUUGGUAUAAUGACUCCAUUUAUAUAUUUGUCUCCUGAUUAUUACAAAAUAAAGUUGUAAACUUAGAAGAAUCAAAGCGAAAUUUCAUCAUGAGGAUACAUGAUAGAAGCAAAUUUAGUCAUUGUCAAUUUGGACAGUUGCAUACCUCCAUACUCCUUGUUUACAAGAUCAAUAUAAGAAUCAGGCAAUAUAAACACAACACCAGGUAGACCUAGUAAAGGAAAUAUUUAAAAUCAGAAUUGAACAUGGCAUCUGAAAGGUGUAAUUAGAUGUCAUCAAACAACUACCCCGAAAUUUCUCUGAUUCUUCCUUUGUCAUCACAGCUUGAAACCCCUUGUACGUUGUAGUACUACAAGCGUACAUCUUCUGUUUUGCUUCUUCCACACUGUUCAUGGUUUGGGGAAAGAAGAAUGUUAGACAAAAGCAUAACUCUAUCAAAAUUAAUCAUCAUCUCAAGAUACUAGACUAGAGCUGCAGCAGCUUCAAGUCAUUUAAAUGCAAGGAAAAAGGUGAGAAAUAGUAUGAACAUAGUAAAGAUUAGGCAUUGUAAGAGGAUCAUCAUGCAACAGCAACAGCAAUAAACAAACAAACAAAGGAAGAGAAAUGGAAACUCCACUUCUCUUAUUUGGAAUAAUAUAUCAAGGUAUACUCGUUAAUAUUCAAUUUAAAAUAGUGGGGAAGUCAUUUCAUAUCUGUAGCAUUUGUGUUGUGACUGAAAACUGCUUAGGAACAAUAUUAGUCAUCCCAAAAUACUGUGGGGAAUGCCAUAUAGACAAAUCACCUAUCAACAUGUAGUGAAUGAAGGCUUCAAAAACAAAACAUAAGUUAUGCAUAGCAACACCUAGAGUCAGAAUAAAGAAACGAGAAAACAAAAUCCAAAUCAGAAUAUUCAACAUUGAAAAGGGUUCCAAUAGAAGAACAGAAUACUGACUAACACAAGUAGUUGAAGAAACAAUUCUAACAAAGUUGCGGCUCUCAUGUAAUAGAGAGUAUGGAAGCAACAGAGGCAGAAUGUAAGUUUACUUCUAAAAAUAAUUCAAAAAGUUUUUUUUCAUAAGUUAAAAAAAUCAAACCUAAUAUUUAGGCCUUUGGCACAGGUUUCUUCGUAGGCACAAACCAUCUCCUCGGGAGUGGGUUUUGGGUCCUUGGGAAAUUCCAUGAUGAUGAGCCAGUGGUUGUAAUCGGCGCCCUCCAAUGCUAAUGUGUCGGACCCCACCUUGUCAUCUUUGUUGUUGGACCCAAAUGAUGAUUGGG
This 4513-nucleotide long non-coding RNA is filed under the name Cucumis sativus (cucumber). RNAcentral's name for it is "long non-coding RNA (CSAT_LNC002057)". The record is from RNAcentral. Lineage: Eukaryota; Viridiplantae; Streptophyta; Magnoliopsida; Cucurbitales; Cucurbitaceae.